This is a small nucleolar RNA of Grammomys surdaster, 128 nucleotides long. RefSeq annotates it as small nucleolar RNA SNORA17. The transcript has a single exon. The record is from RefSeq and is a predicted model, not a curated record. NCBI's taxonomy places the organism in Eukaryota, Metazoa, Chordata, Mammalia, Rodentia, Muridae.
CCUAUGCCUAGAGGCAUUGCAGGUAUGGCUGUUGUGUCAUGUGUCAGUAGGUGGCAGAGAGAAGAGAGUCUAUGUCUAAUCUCAGUGCUCUGACCUAUGAACAUCUGGAUAAUUAGUAGCCUAACACU